This is a long non-coding RNA of Salvelinus sp. IW2-2015, 1131 nucleotides long. RefSeq lists it as uncharacterized. NCBI's taxonomy places the organism in Eukaryota, Metazoa, Chordata, Actinopteri, Salmoniformes, Salmonidae. The transcript is spliced from 2 exons. The record is from RefSeq and is a predicted model, not a curated record.
CUCAAGCAGUGGCAGAGAGCAACAACUCUGUCUCUGCCCCUCAACAACUGGACUCAGUCAUACUGUGUCUCUGGACUGGUGGGAUGAACCCCUGCUAUUCCACUACUUCUGCUUUUCAUCUACAUGUACAUCCCCAUGUUCAUCUUCCUCAGCGUGUUUAAAUAAAGUUCCGGUAUGUGUUAACUCUUGGGCUGCUUUAUUUCCCUUUAACCGGGAGCGGCAUCAGUCACAAUCCAGUUAAAUACAUAGACCCGGGUCGCUCUCUUUCAAGGUCCUUUGUCUCGCAGGAUUUGUCAUUUUGCUGACACCACUACAGCACGGCGGCCCACAGAGACCACACGGGGUACUUUCCACACUGCCCACCUGCGGUCCAGUGGGGUAUGGCCCCAGGGUAUCCAGUGGAUUACUACCAUGUGGAUUAUACCCCCUCUCUGGAGCCUAUGAGAGCCUGUUGGAGAGCCUGCUGACGGUGCAGCAUGGACCCUAUGGCCCUUCUCCUCCACCUACGGGAUACUACUCAGAACCAGAUGGGGCCACAUCCCCAGAAACCCAACGCCUGGAUUGUUCUUCUACAUUGGAGUACCAGGGAGCUGCAGCGUUGCGAACAUCGCUGCAUAUGUCAUGAGUACAGGAAGCUCGUUUUGCCCGAAUUGAGCAGAAUAUACAGUAUUUUUCACAUUAUGCAACAGAAGACCAGAUCCCAGGCUUCCUCCUAUUAGGGGAGCCCUCUCCAACAGGUUGCAGUGGAGAACAUGGGACAGUCAUGGUGGACAGCGGCAAGAAGUUGUCUCUUCGGCCCUGGCACUGUUGCCAGGUGUGACUGUGACCGUCGAAUGUGACUAUAUUGCCUCUCCAGCCUGAGCACCUUUGUCGGGACAGCGACACGUCAUGUCCUCGGCCCGCUAUGCUGCCUCUGUAUCUCUUGUAACCUGCAAACAUGUUCAGGGAUUAUAUGUCAUUUAUACAGUCCUUAAUGACUGUUACUACCUCUCUUGUGAGAUCGUAUGUACAACAUUUCCAUUGCCUUUCAAUUCCUUCUACAGAACCACUAGUAUUCCACUACCUCUCCCACUUUUCAUCCCCAUGUUCACCUUCCUCAGUGUGUUUAAAUAAAGUUCCUGUAUGUGUUAA